RNAcentral lists this ribosomal RNA (254 nucleotides) under uncultured bacterium. RNAcentral's name for it is "partial 16S ribosomal RNA". It matches the Rfam family "Bacterial small subunit ribosomal RNA", at positions 524 to 776 of the family's 1533-position model. The record is from RNAcentral.
CACGUAGGGGGCAAGCGUUGUCCGGAUUUAUUGGGCGUAAAGAGCUCGUAGGCGGCUUGGUAAGUCGGGUGUGAAAACUCCGAGCUCAACUCGGAGACGCCAUCUGAUACUGCCAUGGCCAGAGUCCGGUAGGGGAGCGCAGAAUUCCUGGUGUAGCGGUGAAAUGCACAGAUAUCAGGAGGAAUACCGAUGGCGAAGGCAGCGCUCUGGGCCGGUACUGACGCUGAGGAGCGAAAGCGUGGGUAGCGAACAGG